Molecule: long non-coding RNA, 683 nt
Filed under: Trifolium pratense (red clover)
Lineage: Eukaryota; Viridiplantae; Streptophyta; Magnoliopsida; Fabales; Fabaceae
Description: long non-coding RNA (TPRA_LNC006277)
Source: RNAcentral
CCACUGAGACGAAGUGACUGUCUCAUCCCCCACUUAUUUGAUUUCAGAUAAGCAGGUUGAUCGCGAUGUCGUGGUCAGCAAGCAUGAAGACCCAGAUAUGUGGAGUACGAUUUGGAGCUGACGUUAUGUUUAUCUUAUAUCUUGUAUAAGAUUCAGUUUAUUUAUGUUUAGUUGUUGGCUCAAAUUUGUAUUCACUUCUUGGAUUUUAUAAUCCUAUUCAUGUGUUUAUGUAAUGAAAAUUUAAUGUUUUCCGAUUCAGUUAUGUACACUCUUGUCGGUAUUCUAGAUAAAUUGACAUGGGUUGUUUUACCUCCCACAUGCAAUCAAGUUCAUAAUUGAGUUCUUAAGAGGCGGUGAACAUAGCAUGAAUUCAAAGGAAAUUAUGGAGGAUUGAUACAAAAUUACCCUUACCUUGAAGCUUGAGAUGAGAGGAACUUAUUUAUGGAAUUGAAUGUUGAUUUAAGAUGUGGCUAUAGUCACACCAAUAUUUUUACUUAAAAUUCACCUUUUUAGGUUCAUUGCAUAAUUAAUGUAUCUGGUCUAUAAUAUAGACCAAAUACAUUAAUUAUACAAUGAACAUAAAAAAGUAAAUUUUACUUGUAAGCAUAUUGUUUACGUGAAAAUUUGGUAAACAACCGCUAGUUUAAGUAUUUAAACUCGCGAGACCAACUAGUAAAUCUCAG